Molecule: long non-coding RNA, 284 nt
Filed under: Lotus japonicus
Lineage: Eukaryota; Viridiplantae; Streptophyta; Magnoliopsida; Fabales; Fabaceae
Description: long non-coding RNA (LJAP_LNC000839)
Source: RNAcentral
AGAAUUGUAAGCGUAUGAAGAAUAUUGCUUGGGAGCUUUGUAAGUAUGUUUGCUAAAUUCGUGCAAUGCUUCUUGCUUUCUUCAUCUUGAUGCAGCGUUCUUAUACUUCUGGAUUCAAGGAAUGUUACCGUUGUAGGAUCUGCUUUUGCAGAGACCGGUUGUAGUGGAAUACAGAGAAUAAGGAAUAUUGUGCUGCCCGAGGUAGGUGUGCCAUCGAGAAUAAACAUCCAUGUCCAGGAUAUUCUAUUCUAUGACAACUUGUCUUAGUGCGCGACAAUACCAGU